GAUGAACGCUCGCGGCAGGCCUAACACAUGCAAGUCGAGGGGUAGAAGGAGCUUGCUCCUUUGAGACCGGCGCACGGGUGCGUAACGCGUAUGCAAUCUACCUUGUACAGGGGAAUAGCCCAGAGAAAUUUGGAUUAAUGCCCCAUAGUAUAUAACCUUCGCAUGUUGGUUAUAUUAAAGUUCCAACGGUACAAGAUGAGCAUGCGUCCCAUUAGUUAGUUGGUAAGGUAACGGCUUACCAAGACGAUGAUGGGUAGGGGUCCUGAGAGGGAGAUCCCCCACACUGGGACUGAGACACGGACCAGACUCCUACGGGAGGCAGCAGUGAGGAAUAUUGGGCAAUGGUCGCAAGACUGAACCAGCCAUGCCGCGUGCAGGAAGACGGUCCUAUGGAUUGUAAACUGCUUUUAUACAGGAAGAAACCCUCCCACGUGUGGGAGCUUGACGGUACUGUAGGAAUAAGGAUCGGCUAACUCCGUG
Molecule: ribosomal RNA, 480 nt
Filed under: uncultured bacterium
Lineage: Bacteria
Description: partial 16S ribosomal RNA
Rfam family: Bacterial small subunit ribosomal RNA
Source: RNAcentral